RNAcentral lists this ribosomal RNA (242 nucleotides) under uncultured bacterium. RNAcentral describes it as "partial 16S ribosomal RNA". It matches the Rfam family "Bacterial small subunit ribosomal RNA", at positions 535 to 776 of the family's 1533-position model. The record is from RNAcentral.
CAAGCGUUGUUCGGAUUCAUUGGGCGUAAAGGGUGUGUAGGCGGCGUGGUAAGUCGGGUGUGAAAUCUUGGAGCUUAACUCCGAAACUGCAUUCGAUACUGCCGUGCUUGAGGACUGGAGAGGAGACUGGAAUUUACGGUGUAGCGGUGAAAUGCGUAGAUAUCGUAAGGAAGACCAGUGGCGAAGGCGGGUCUCUGGACAGUUCCUGACGCUGAGGCACGAAGGCCAGGGGAGCAAACGGG